AUUGCUGUGUUGGCCGGGCUGGAGUGCAGUGGGGCAAUUUUAGCUCACUGCAGCAUCCAACUUCUGGUUCAAGCAAUCCUCUCACUUCAGCCUUCCAAGUAGUUAGGACUACAGGCAUAUGCUGCUGUGCUCAGCUAACUUUUUCAUUUUUUGUAGAGACAGGAUCUCACUUUGGAAGGCAGCUAUGCUCACCACUACACUGCCAACACCAGGAUCUCACUUUGUUGCCCAAGCUGGUCUUGAACUCCCGGACUCAAGCAACCCUCUUGCCUCAGCCUCCUAAAGUGCUGAGAUUACAGGCGUGAACCACACCAUGCCUGGCCCAUUUUGUCAAUUAAGUGUUUUGGAAAUGCUACUUGUUCAUUAUAAUCAAUCAGUAAAGGAUAAUUAUUGUAGAAAUUAGUAUUUACUAAGAGUUGAAAAAGCAUUCAGCUCUUUUUUUUUUGGCAGAGCUAGCUGAGGUUUUAUUUUGGACCAAAAAAAAAAAAAAAAAAAAAACAGUUGAAUUGUUUUGUAGCUGGAGGCAUGGGCAAGGGGGGGUCCCCAAGCAGUAAACUUCCCCGCACGUGGGCUGAGGGCUAGGACUGAGCCUCAGGUCAUCCCCGUGCUUCCCAGCCAGCAUCUGCAGCUCCUCAUAUUUGAUCUGGUACAUGCUCUCAGCCUCACUCCGGCUGCGGUUGGUGAUCUCCUCGUACUGCGCCUUGACCUCAGUGAUGAUGCCGUCCAUGUCCGGGGAGCGGCUGUUGUCCAUGGACAGCAUCACAGACGUAUCCGAGAUCUGGGACUGCAGCUCCCGAUCUCUUCAUACAGCUGCCUCAGGAAGUUGAUCUCGUCAGUCAGCCCUUCCAGCAGAAGUCACACUAUAUGACACCCAGGACUCGGCCUUAUGAGAUCGUCAGCUUCCACAGGCUCUCUUGAAGCACUCCCUGUUAGAAGCCGGCAGCCAUCUAAGUCUAUCUUAAGAACAUGUUACUGUGAGGAUGCCCAAGCUAUGUGGAGAGAGAAAGAGGCCAAUAGAGAUGCACUGACACCAAACAAGAAGCUUUCUCGGACUUUCUGGCUCAGCUCAACCACCAGCUGAAUGCAGCCAAGGAAAGACUCAGCCAACGUCACAGGGAGCAGAACCCUCCAAAUGAGUGACACUGAAUUCCUAAUCCACAGAAUCAUGAGUAAAUAAAUGACAGUAGCUUUUGCUCAUCAAA
Molecule: long non-coding RNA, 1202 nt
Organism: Homo sapiens (human)
Lineage: Eukaryota; Metazoa; Chordata; Mammalia; Primates; Hominidae
Source: Ensembl